This 420-nucleotide ribosomal RNA is filed under the name uncultured bacterium. Its description in RNAcentral is "bacterial SSU rRNA". It matches the Rfam family "Bacterial small subunit ribosomal RNA", at positions 356 to 773 of the family's 1533-position model. The record is from RNAcentral.
GAGGAAUAUUGGUCAAUGGGCGCAAGCCUGAACCAGCCAUGCCGCGUGCAGGAUGACGGUCCUAUGGAUUGUAAACUGCUUUUGUACGGGAAGAAACACUCCUUCGUGAAGGAGCUUGACGGUACCGUAAGAAUAAGGAUCGGCUAACUCCGUGCCAGCAGCCGCGGUAAUACGGAGGAUCCAAGCGUUAUCCGGAAUCAUUGGGUUUAAAGGGUCCGUAGGCGGUCUUGUAAGUCAGUGGUGAAAGCCAAUCGCUCAACGGUGGAACGGCCAUUGAUACUGCAGGACUUGAAUUAUUGGGAAGUAACUAGAAUAUGUAGUGUAGCGGUGAAAUGCUUAGAGAUUACAUGGAAUACCAAUUGCGAAGGCAGGUUACUACCAAUUGAUUGACGCUGAUGGACGAAAGCGUGGGUAGCGAAC